CACUUUUCUAGCAUGCAGAUCCCGCCAAACUAUCAACCGCCGGCUCCGCCAAAACCAAACAACGCCGGACUACUGGCCCUCUACACACAUAUUGAAAUGGUACACUACUGGCAUCAUUUCAAGAUGGAAUGGAUUUGGAACCUGCUGUUGAGACAAGAUUCGGUGUGAGAUGGGCCUUGGGCCAUUUGAAACCUCAGCCACAUCUUCCCCGGUCAUUAUUGUUAGGUUAAGCAUUCUCUCUGUCACACACACACACACAAAGACUGUGUGUCGCUUAACCCACGUGCAAAACCCGCAGAGGGCAAGGUUCCAGCCGGAGCAGCUGCGCACCCAGGAAAAAAGCUUUUAAAAAGACUCGCUACCCCGGGGUUGGUGUCCGCGAGUCCCUGGCACGAAGGACCGGGCUGUCAGCAACCAGGGUACAGUUUCCAUAGACAGCGGGCAGCUUUAACAGCCACUUGCUGCCGUCUUGGACCUGUCCUGUGGCCAGUGACCCCUGACCCACGUGACCCUGUGUCUCCGUUUUUCGAGGCUGUUCCCCAGACUACAGCCCGCUUGGGUCCUCGUUGAAGAACCAUGUGGUCACCAUAGUUGCAAUCAGUCCAAUCUUCAUAACCGCUGACGUCGAGACAGUCCGGAUUUCUCCUCACAUGAAAAGUUUCUCCCCAAGUUUCUAAAGACUCAAAGUGCUACUCGUAGUUCCUUUUUCUUUAAAUUCAGAACUUCUGAAUAUUUCAAUUAAUUCAAGUUCCAACACAGAGAAAAUAGUAAAGAAUCUGA
This 780-nucleotide long non-coding RNA is filed under the name Pomacea canaliculata. RNAcentral's name for it is "uncharacterized LOC112566510, transcript variant X2". Lineage: Eukaryota; Metazoa; Mollusca; Gastropoda; Architaenioglossa; Ampullariidae. The record is from RNAcentral.